GUUUAGACCGUCGUGAGACAGGUUAGUUUUACCCUACUGACGACCAUAGAAGAGGUGUUGUUGCGAUAGUAAUCCUGCGAAGUACGAGAGGAACCGCAGGUUCGGACAGUUGGUUGGCGCACUUGGUCGAGCGGCCAGUGGUGCGAGGCUACGUCCGGAUGAUUAUACCUGAAGGCCUCUGAAGGUAGAAUCGAUGCUGGAGGAAGGCAAUGAUACGCCGCGUCUCUGACUCAAUUUAAACUCAUCUGGGUGGCUAUAACGAGACCCGUCUCGGUUAGAGAUUAAAACUCGCUCCAUCGGCGAGGGGUUCCGGCCUUUCGUCUGUUUCGGACGAAUGCCUGGUCGGCGCUAUUCAUUCUCGAGCCGCGGUCGGAGGUUCGCUGCCGGCGUUUGCGGGGUGGUCGGUUAAAGACGUGCCCGCCGCUCCAGCCCUCCUCAACCCGAACAAAG
This 450-nucleotide ribosomal RNA is filed under the name Simocephalus vetulus. Its description in RNAcentral is "eukaryotic LSU rRNA". The stretch from base 1 to 223 matches the Rfam family "Eukaryotic large subunit ribosomal RNA", at positions 2961 to 3401 of the family's 3401-position model. Lineage: Eukaryota; Metazoa; Arthropoda; Branchiopoda; Diplostraca; Daphniidae. The record is from RNAcentral.